CUCACAGCUCAUGCACCCUGGGGCAAGCCAGCUGCUAUGUCACCAGGACACUCGAGCAGAUGCUGAAAUGGCAAGUCCAAAAAGCAAGAAGAUUUCUUAUGAAAUGCAAACAGUGGGGAACCAUUAAUUUUAAAGGUCUACCCAUUUCCCAAGGAGCCAAGAAGCCAUGCCUAGUCUUGAGGGUUUAAUCUACGUACAUACAGGGGAAAGAUCUCUCCUAACCUACACCACUCACUGUCCUCCCAAGAGGCUUCACGCGCCUUUCUUUUGAAAACUCGCAUUUUCCAUAGUUGCAAAAAUAACAAAUGCUCAGUGUACAAAACUAGGAAUACUUGAAAAAGCACAAAGAAAAUGAAAAAAUAAACACCGUAAUCCCA
Long non-coding RNA from Panthera uncia (snow leopard), 377 nucleotides. RefSeq lists it as uncharacterized. The record is from RefSeq and is a predicted model, not a curated record. The transcript has 2 exons. NCBI's taxonomy places the organism in Eukaryota, Metazoa, Chordata, Mammalia, Carnivora, Felidae.